UGUGUUGUUGGGUAGGGGAGCGUUCUGUAAGCCUGUGAAGGUGUGCUGUGAGGCAUGCUGGAGGUAUCAGAAGUGCGAAUGCUGACAUAAGUAACGAUAAAGCGGGUGAAAAGCCCGCUCGCCGGAAGACCAAGGGUUCCUGUCCAACGUUAAUCGGGGCAGGGUGAGUCGACCCCUAAGGCGAGGCCGAAAGGCGUAGUCGAUGGGAAACAGGUUAAUAUUCCUGUACUUGGUGUUACUGCGAAGGGGGGACGGAGAAGGCUAUGUCGGCCGGGCGACGGUUGUCCCGGUUUAAGCGUGUAGGCUGACUUUCCAGGCAAAUCCGGAAAGUUAAGGCUGAGGCGUGAUGACGAGGCACCACGGUGCUGAAGUGACAAAUGCCCUGCUUCCAGGAAAAGCCUCUAAGCAUCAGGUAACAUCAAAUCGUACCCCAAACCGACACAGGUGGUCAGGUAGAGAAUACCAAGGCGCUUGAGAGAACUCGGGUGAAGGAACUAGGCAAAAUGGUGCCGUAACUUCGGGAGAAGGCACGCUGACAUGUAGGUGAAGCCCCUGCGGGUGGAGCUGAAGUCAGUCGAAGAUACCAGCUGGCUGCAACUGUUUAUUAAAAACACAGCACUGUGCAAACACGAAAGUGGACGUAUACGGUGUGACGCCUGCCCGGUGCCGGAAGGUUAAUUGAUGGGGUUAUCGCAAGAGAAGCUCCUGAUCGAAGCCCCGGUAAACGGCGGCCGUAACUAUAACGGUCCUAAGGUAGCGAAAUUCCUUGUCGGGUAAGUUCCGACCUGCACGAAUGGCGUAAUGAUGGCCAGGCUGUCUCCACCCGAGACUCAGUGAAAUUGAACUCGCUGUGAAGAUGCAGUGUACCCGCGGCAAGACGGAAAGACCCCGUGAACCUUUACUACAGCUUGACACUGAACAUUGAGCCUUGAUGUGUAGGAUAGGUGGGAGGCUUUGAAGCGUGGACGCCAGUCUGCGUGGAGCCGACCUUGAAAUACCACCCUUUAAUGU
This 1011-nucleotide ribosomal RNA is filed under the name Cronobacter sakazakii. RNAcentral's name for it is "partial 23S ribosomal RNA". It matches the Rfam family "Bacterial large subunit ribosomal RNA", at positions 1217 to 2213 of the family's 2925-position model. Lineage: Bacteria; Pseudomonadati; Pseudomonadota; Gammaproteobacteria; Enterobacterales; Enterobacteriaceae. The record is from RNAcentral.